This 329-nucleotide unclassified non-coding RNA is filed under the name soil metagenome. RNAcentral describes it as "partial contains 5.8S ribosomal RNA, internal transcribed spacer 2, and large subunit ribosomal RNA". The stretch from base 1 to 120 matches the Rfam family "5.8S ribosomal RNA", at positions 35 to 154 of the family's 154-position model. The record is from RNAcentral.
GAUGAAGAACGUAGCGAAAUGCGAUAAGUAAUGUGAAUUGCAGAAUUCAGUGAAUCAUCAAAUCUUUGAACGCACAUUGCGCCCCUUGGUAUUCCGAGGGGCAUGCCUGUUCGAGCGUCAUUAUAACCCCUCAAGCUCAGCUUGGUGUUGGGGCCUGCUGCACUGGCAGCCCUUAAAAUCAGUGGCGGCGCCAUCUGGCUCUAAGCGUAGUAAUUCUUCUCGCUAUGGAGUCCUGGUGGAUGCUUGCCAUCAACCCCCAAUUUUUCUAUGGUUGACCUCGGAUCAGGUAGGGAUACCCGCUGAACUUAAGCAUAUCAAUAAGCGGAGGA